UUACCGAGUUUACAACUCCCAAACCCCUGUGAACAUACCACUUGUUGCCUCGGCGGAUCAGCCCGCUCCCGGUAAAACGGGACGGCCCGCCAGAGGACCCCUAAACUCUGUUUCUAUAUGUAACUUCUGAGUAAAACCAUAAAUAAAUCAAAACUUUCAACAACGGAUCUCUUGGUUCUGGCAUCGAUGAAGAACGCAGCAAAAUGCGAUAAGUAAUGUGAAUUGCAGAAUUCAGUGAAUCAUCGAAUCUUUGAACGCACAUUGCGCCCGCCAGUAUUCUGGCGGGCAUGCCUGUUCGAGCGUCAUUUCAACCCUCAAGCACAGCUUGGUGUUGGGACUCGCGUUAAUUCGCGUUCCCCAAAUUGAUUGGCGGUCACGUCGAGCUUCCAUAGCGUAGUAGUAAAACCCUCGUUACUGGUAAUCGUCGCGGCCACGCCGUUAAACCCCAACUUCUGAAUGUUGACCUCGGAUCAGGUAGGAAUACCCGCUGAACUUAA
RNAcentral lists this ribosomal RNA (497 nucleotides) under uncultured Hypocreales. RNAcentral's name for it is "eukaryotic LSU rRNA". The stretch from base 152 to 305 matches the Rfam family "5.8S ribosomal RNA". Lineage: Eukaryota; Fungi; Ascomycota; Sordariomycetes; Hypocreales. The record is from RNAcentral.